RNAcentral lists this unclassified non-coding RNA (254 nucleotides) under uncultured Planctomycetales bacterium. Its description in RNAcentral is "contains 16S-23S intergenic spacer region". It matches the Rfam family "Bacterial small subunit ribosomal RNA", at positions 524 to 776 of the family's 1533-position model. The record is from RNAcentral. Lineage: Bacteria; Pseudomonadati; Planctomycetota; Planctomycetia; Planctomycetales.
UACGUACUGUGCGAACGUUAUUCGGAAUCACUGGGCUUAAAGGGUGCGUAGGCGGCCGUUUAAGUAGGGUGUGAAAUGCCUCGGCCCAACCGAGGAAUUGCGCUCUAAACUGGGCGGUCUUGAGUGAGAUAGGGGUGUGCGGAACUUCCAGUGGAGCGGUGAAAUGUGUUGAUAUUGGAAGGAACACCGGUGGCGAAAGCGGCACACUGGGUCUCAACUGACGCUGAGGCACGAAAGCUAGGGUAGCGAACGGG